UAGCUAGUUGGUGAGGUAAAGGCUUACCAAGGCGACGAUCUGUAGCGGGUCUGAGAGGAUGAUCCGCCACACUGGAACUGAGACACGGUCCAGACUCCUACGGGAGGCAGCAGUGGGGAAUUUUGGACAAUGGGGGCAACCCUGAUCAGCCAUGCCGCGUGAGUGAAGAAGGCCUUCGGGUUGUAAAGCUCUUUCGGCCGGGAAGAAAUCGCAUGGGCCAAUACCCUGUGUGGAUGACGGUACCGGAAUAAGAAGCACCGGCUAACUACGUGCCAGCAGCCGCGGUAAUACGUAGGGUGCGAGCGUUAAUCAAAUUACUGGGCGUAAAGCGUGCGCAGGCGGUUUUGUAAGACAGGCGUGAAAUCCCCGGGCUUAACCUGGGAACUGCGUUUGUGACUGCAAGGCUAGAGUACGGCAGAGGGGGGUGGAAUUCCACGUGUAGCAGUGAAAUGCGUAGAGAUGUGGAGGAACACCAAUGGCGAAGGCAGCCCCCUGGGUCGAUACUGACGCUCAUGCACGAAAGCGUGGGUAGCAAACAGGAUUAGAUACCCUGGUAGUCCACGCCCUAAACUAUGUCAACUAGGUGUUGGGUGGGUAAAACCAUUUAGUACCGUAGCUAACGCGUGAAGUUGACCGCCUGGGGAGUACGGCCGCAAGGUUAAAACUCAAAGGAAUUGACGGGGACCCGCACAAGCGGUGGAUGAUGUGGAUUAAUUCGAUGCAACGCGAAAAACCUUACCUACCCUUGACAUGCCAGGAACUUGCCAGAGAUGGCUUGGUGCCCGAAAGGGAGCCUGGACACAGGUGCUGCAUGGCUGUCGUCAGCUCGUGUCGUGAGAUGUUGGGUUAAGUCCCGCAACGAGCGCAACCCUUGUCGUUAAUUGCCAUCAUUUAGUUGGGCACUUUAACGAGACUGCCGGUGACAAACCGGAGGAAGGUGGGGAUGACGUCAAGUCCUCAUGGCCCUUAUGGGUAGGGCUUCACACGUCAUACAAUGGUCGGUACAAAGGGUUGCCAAGCCGCGAGGCGGAGCCAAUCCCAGAAAGCCGAUCGUAGUCCGGAUUGCAGGCUGCAACUCGCCUGCAUGAAGUCGGAAUCGCUAGUAAUCGUGGAUCAGCAUGUCACGGUGAAUACGCUCCCGGGUCUUGUACACACCGCCCGUCACACCAUGGGAGCGGGCUCCGCCAGAAGUAGGUAGCCUAACCGCAAGGGGGGCGCUUACCACGGCGGGGUUCGUGACUGGGGUGAAGUCGUAACAAGGUAGCCGUAGGGAACCUGCGGCUG
This 1284-nucleotide ribosomal RNA is filed under the name metagenome. Its description in RNAcentral is "bacterial SSU rRNA". It matches the Rfam family "Bacterial small subunit ribosomal RNA", at positions 242 to 1520 of the family's 1533-position model. The record is from RNAcentral.